GUCAAAGGAAAUGGCAUCUCUUGGAAAA
RNAcentral lists this non-coding RNA (28 nucleotides) under Homo sapiens (human). Lineage: Eukaryota; Metazoa; Chordata; Mammalia; Primates; Hominidae. The record is from RNAcentral.